This is an RNA transcript of Mus musculus (house mouse), 473 nucleotides long. It is a transcript of the gene named RIKEN cDNA 4930420G21 gene, with no coding region annotated. Lineage: Eukaryota; Metazoa; Chordata; Mammalia; Rodentia; Muridae. The transcript is spliced from 3 exons. The record is from RefSeq and is a predicted model, not a curated record.
AAGGCCUUAACAGUCUUUGAGAAAUGUAUAAUUAUGAUCCUGUGUGGUUUUGUCCUUUGCUCCUUCCGGUGCUAGUGAGAUUUCUCUUUCUUGUCCUCUUCUUCCUUUUGUUCUCUUACGCUGCCUGCUCUCUGCCCAGGUCUAGGCUGAGAGGAGAGAACCUGGUCCACCUGAGGCUCUCCUGGGCUGAAGAGGGAUGCUGUCUUGCUGAAACAAACAUGUGAGAGAACAUGUGAUAUUUUGCUGGAGCUGACACUGGAGAAGAUCAAGACAUAGAACCCUCAGCUUCGCCUCCAGCAUCCUGUCUGCUUACCUGCUGUCACGCUUCCCACUAUGAUGACAAUGGACUGAACCUCUGAAACUGUGAGCCAGCCCCAAUUAAAUGUUUUUUCUUUAUAAGAGUUGCUUUGGUCAUGGUGUGUCUUCCUAGCAAUAAAACCCAAACUAAGACACACAUCAAGUACUGUACUGAC